Molecule: ribosomal RNA, 484 nt
Filed under: uncultured bacterium
Lineage: Bacteria
Description: partial 16S ribosomal RNA
Rfam family: Bacterial small subunit ribosomal RNA
Source: RNAcentral
AUUGAACGCUGGCGGCAGGCCUAACACAUGCAAGUCGAGCGGAUGAAGGGAGCUUGCUCCUGGAUUCAGCGGCGGACGGGUGAGUAAUGCCUAGGAAUCUGCCUGGUUGUGGGGGAUAACGUCCGGAAACGGGCGCUAAUACCGCAUACGUCCUGAGGGAGAAAGUGGGGGAUCUUCGGACCUCACGCUAUCAGAUGAGCCUAGGUCGGAUUAGCUAGUUGGUGGGGUAAGGGCCUACCAAGGCGACGAUCCGUAACUGGUCUGAGAGGAUGAUCAGUCACACUGGAACUGAGACACGGUCCAGACUACUACGGGAGGCAGCAGUGGGGAAUAUUGGACAAUGGGCGAAAGCCUGAUCCAGCCAUGCCGCGUGUGUGAAGAAGGUCUUCGGAUUGUAAAGCACUUUAAGUUGGGAGGAAGGGCAGUAAGUUAAUACCUUGCUGUUUUGACGGUACCAACAGAAUAAGCACCGGCUAACUUCGUG